AGUUAAACAAAUUUAAAAAAACCAAUAGACUCUUCCAUUUCACCUUCCCAAUCGCAAUCUGAACGACUCUAAGGUGAGUUCGGAGGUCAAUCAUUUUUUUCCCUCGGUUGGAAUCGACUAUUGAAGAAUUUUACUCUCCCAAUCCCAAUCUAAACGACUCUAAGGUGAGGUUUGUGAUGAAGAAGUGUCGGAGGUCAAUCGAAUGUGGCUUCUCAGUUGGACUCGACGAUUGAAGAAUUUCACUCUCCCAAUCCCAAUCUGAACGAAUCUAAGGUGAGCUCUGUGACGAAGAAGAUAAAGACUUAAGCUUUUUAAGUAUUUUCAUGGUGAGAGCUUGAUCAGAGGCCCAAUUGGAGAAAAUCGUUUCUGGGUUAUUGAGAUUUUUUUUAGAGAUUUGUGUUUUGGGGUCAGAGAUUUGUGGGGGGUUUUGAAGGGUUUGAUUUCAAUGUUGGUUCAAGAUAGAGUAGGGCCUAAGUCUCCCAAACAAGUUAUUUGUUUGCAAUUCAGCAUGGUGCGAAGAAAAUCUUUGAUGCUGAUGAUCGUGGUGAGGUGAUCGAUGGUGAUUUGGGUAAGCAUUUUGAUGUUGGAUUGGUAGGAGAAGAUGCUAGACAAGAGACUAUUAUGCAGUAUAGUCAUGAAAAUCCUAAUAGGACUGUUGUGAAUCCUUAUAUUCAUUUUGAUACAUACACAGACAAAGAAUAAAGGCCAUUUCAUAUAGAAAUAUCGAUGAACGGUUUUAGAAUCAUCCGUACAUUAUAAGUUUCCUACUAGAUUUGGUGGUCAGACCUGUUGAUUUAAUUCUGAAGGGUAUAUUGAUGGGAAGAAUGACUGAAGGCUUGAUGAUUGUCUUCGUUAUUGCAUUGUUGCUGGGAAGAAAGUUCUUGAAGAUGCUGAUCUUGGUGGUGAAAAGCUCUCCAAGCUCCUGAGGUGGUUGAAAAGCCAGGAGAUAAUUCCUUAGCAAAACUGAAGCAUCUAUAUACCCAUGCUAAAGAUCUUUCUCAAAGUGAAGUAAGUUUCAGUGUUUCUAAUAUAUGUUGAUGAAUCAACUUGAUGCCCUGGUUCUUUCUGGAACUCAAGGGCAGCAACGUCGAAGAAAUGGUAUGCACUCUCAGCUUGGAGCUAUUAGAUUUUUCUUUGGAAAGAUUACUAUUUGCAAGGGCUUUAAAUGUUUUCCAUUUUUGGAAAAGACUAAUAGGCAUGAAUUAAUAUUCUAAGCGUUCUCGUUGGUGUUAUUUAUGUACAGAGGAUAGUAAAAAGAUACCAUUUUUCAUAUAAAAAUUGCUCAUCCUUGCUUAUAGCUCAUAAGCUAAAAUGACUUGAUAAACUUCUUUUUUAGUACCACAUGUGAGCCAUGACCCUUGAGAGCAUUUCUCUGUAAUAUGUUGUAUCUAUUUGUGCAUAGGAGUCAACUCACAAAUAGUAAAUCUUUUUGAGAUUUAACAGCA
Molecule: long non-coding RNA, 1445 nt
Organism: Cannabis sativa
Lineage: Eukaryota; Viridiplantae; Streptophyta; Magnoliopsida; Rosales; Cannabaceae
Exons: 4
Source: RefSeq, a predicted model, not a curated record